This 327-nucleotide ribosomal RNA is filed under the name uncultured eukaryote. RNAcentral's name for it is "partial 18S ribosomal RNA". It matches the Rfam family "Eukaryotic small subunit ribosomal RNA", at positions 1470 to 1796 of the family's 1831-position model. The record is from RNAcentral.
CCCUUAGAUGUUCUGGGCCGCACGCGUGCUACACUGAGCGGAUCAGCGGGUCAGGUUGCGCGAAAGCGUUUCCUAAUCUUGAAAUCCGCUCGUGAUGGGGAUUGACGGUUGCAAUUUUCUGUCAUGAACGAGGAAUACCUUGUAAGCGCGAGUCAUCAUCCCGCGCUGAAUACGUCCCUGCCCUUUGUACACACCGCCCGUCGCUACUACCGAUUGAAUGGUUUAGUGAGAUCUUCGGAUUGGCGCCACUGCAGCUCAGCAAUGGGCUUGGUGGAUGCCGAAAAGUUGAUCGAACUUGAUCAUUUAGAGGAAGUAAAAGUCGUAACA